UACGAAGGGGGCUAGCGUUGUUCGGAAUUACUGGGCGUAAAGCGCGCGCAGGCGGUUCUCCAAGUCAGUGGUGAAAGCCCGGAGCUCAACUCCGGAACUGCCAUUGAAACUGUUGAACUUGAGGACGAGAGAGGUGAGUGGAAUUCCCAGUGUAGAGGUGAAAUUCGUAGAUAUUCGGAAGAACACCAGUGGCGAAGGCGACUUACUGGACACAUAUUGACGCUGAGGUGCGAAAGCGUGGGGAGCAAACAGG
RNAcentral lists this ribosomal RNA (253 nucleotides) under uncultured bacterium. RNAcentral's name for it is "partial 16S ribosomal RNA". It matches the Rfam family "Bacterial small subunit ribosomal RNA", at positions 524 to 776 of the family's 1533-position model. The record is from RNAcentral.